GACGAACGCUGGCGGCGUGCUUAACACAUGCAAGUCGAACGGUGACGAGGAGCUUGCUCCUCUGAUCAGUGGCGAACGGGUGAGUAACACGUGAGCAACCUGCCCCAGACUCUGGGAUAACAGUUGGAAACAGCUGCUAAUACCGGAUACGAGACGGAGAGGCAUCUCUACCGUCUGGGAAAGUUUUUUCGGCUGGGAUGGACUCGCGGCCUAUCAGCUUGUUGGUGAGUAAUGGCUCACCAAGGCGACGACGGGUAGCCGGCCUGAGAGGGCGACCGGGCCACACUGGGACUGAGACACGGCCCAGACUCCUACGGGAGGCAGCAGUGGGGAAUAUGCACAAUGGGCGAAAGCCUGAUGCAGCGACGCCGCGU
Molecule: ribosomal RNA, 374 nt
Filed under: uncultured bacterium
Lineage: Bacteria
Description: bacterial SSU rRNA
Rfam family: Bacterial small subunit ribosomal RNA
Source: RNAcentral